ACGGGUGAGUAAUGUCUGGGAAACUGCCCGAUGGAGGGGGAUAACUACUGGAAACGGUAGCUAAUACCGCAUAACGUCGCAAGACCAAAGUGGGGGACCUUCGGGCCUCACACCAUCGGAUGUGCCCAGAUGGGAUUAGCUAGUAGGUGGGGUAACGGCUCACCUAGGCGACGAUCCCUAGCUGGUCUGAGAGGAUGACCAGCCACACUGGAACUGAGACACGGUCCAGACUCCUACGGGAGGCAGCAGUGGGGAAUAUUGCACAAUGGGCGCAAGCCUGAUGCAGCCAUGCCGCGUGUAUGAAGAAGGCCUUCGGGUUGUAAAGUACUUUCAGCGGGGAGGAAGGCGACGUGGUUAAUAACCGCGUCGAUUGACGUUACCCGCAGAAGAAGCACCGGCUAACUCCGUGCCAGCAGCCGCGGUAAUACGGAGGGUGCAAGCGUUAAUCGGAAUUACUGGGCGUAAAGCGCACGCAGGCGGUCUGUCAAGUCGGAUGUGAAAUCCCCGGGCUUAACCUGGGAACUGCAUUCGAAACUGGCAGGCUAGAGUCUUGUAGAGGGGGGUAGAAUUCCAGGUGU
RNAcentral lists this ribosomal RNA (578 nucleotides) under uncultured Erwinia sp. RNAcentral's name for it is "bacterial SSU rRNA". It matches the Rfam family "Bacterial small subunit ribosomal RNA", at positions 102 to 676 of the family's 1533-position model. Lineage: Bacteria; Pseudomonadati; Pseudomonadota; Gammaproteobacteria; Enterobacterales; Erwiniaceae. The record is from RNAcentral.